This 774-nucleotide long non-coding RNA is filed under the name Zea mays. Its description in RNAcentral is "long non-coding RNA (ZMAY_LNC005815)". The record is from RNAcentral. Lineage: Eukaryota; Viridiplantae; Streptophyta; Magnoliopsida; Poales; Poaceae.
UGGGGUGAGGUGUAUGAGCCUCUGGUCGAUGAUCAAUGGCCACACAACCCCCAUUUUUGUCGAAAAUAGCCAUGAACGACCAUUUUCAAUAAUAUCGAAGGCUAACACCUACGGAUUUUUGACCAAGAAAUGGUCUCCACCAGAAAUCCAAGAAUGUGAUCUACGACAAGGAAACAUAUGUGGGUGAGGUGUAUGAGCCUCUGGUCGACGAUCAAUGGCCACACAACCCCCAUUUUGCCGAAAAUAGCCAUGAAUGACCAUUUUCAAUAAUACCGAAGGCUAACACGUACGAGUUUUUAACCAAGAAAUGGUUUCCACCAGAAAUCCAAGAAUGUAAUCUAUGGCAAGGAAACAUAUGUGGGGUGAGGUGUACGAGCCUCUGGUCGAUGAUCAAUGGCCACACAACCCCCAUUUUGCCGAAAAUAGCCAUGAACGACCAUUUUCAAUAAUACCGAAGGCUAACACGUACGAGUUUUUGACCAAGAAAUGGUCUCCACCAGAAAUCCAAGAAUGUGAUCUAUGGCAAGGAAACAUAUGUGGGGUGAGGUUAUGAGCCUCUAGUCGAUGAUAAAUGGCCACACAACCCCCAUUUUUUAUGAAAAUAGCCAUGAGCGACCAUUUUCAAUAAUACUAGAGGCUAACACCUACGGAUUUUUUACCAAGAAAUGGUCUCCACCAGAAAUCCAAGAAUGUGAUCUAUGGCAAGGAAACAUAUGUGGGGUGAGGUGUAUGAGCCUCUGGUCGAUGAUCAAUGGCCACACAACCCCCAUUUUU